AACAUCUAAGUACCCCGAGGAAAAGAAAUCAACCGAGAUUCCGAAAGUAGCGGCGAGCGAAAUUGGACUAGCCCUUAAGCUUUACACGCGUUAGACGAACGGUCUGGAAAGUCCGACGAUACAGGGUGAUAGUCCCGUAGUUGACGACGUGUGUUCAGUGAAAUCGAGUAGGGCGGGACACGUGAUAUCCUGUCUGAAUAUGGGGGGACCAUCCUCCAAGGCUAAAUACUACUGACUGACCGAUAGUGAACCAGUACCGUGAGGGAAAGGCGAAAAGAACCCCUGUGAGGGGAGUGAAAUAGAACCUGAAACCGUGUACGUACAAGCAGUAGGAGCAGGCUUGUCCUGUGACUGCGUACCUUUUGUAUAAUGGGUCAGCGACUUAUAUUCAGUGGCAAGGUUAACCAUCUAGGGGAGCCGUAGGGAAACCGAGUCUUAACUGGGCGUUCAGUCUCUGGAUAUAGACCCGAAACCAGGUGAUCUAGCCAUGGGCAGGUUGAAGGUUGAGUAACAUCAACUGGAGGACCGAACCGACUAAUGUUGAAAAAUUAGCGGAUGACUUGUGGCUAGGGGUGAAAGGCCAAUCAAACCUGGAGAUAGCUGGUUCUCCCCGAAAGCUAUUUAGGUAGCGCCUCGGACGAAUACUACUGGGGGUAGAGCACUGUUAAGGCUAGGGGGUCAUCCCGACUUACCAACCCUUUGCAAACUCCGAAUACCAGUAAGUACUAUCCGGGAGACACACGGCGGGUGCUAACGUCCGUCGUGGAGAGGGAAACAACCCAGACCGCCAGCUAAGGUCCCAAAUUACUACUAAGUGGGAAACGAUGUGGGAAGGCUCAGACAGCCAGGAUGUUGGCUUAGAAGCAGCCAUCAUUUAAAGAAAGCGUAAUAGCUCACUGGUCGAGUCGGCCUGCGCGGAAGAUGUAACGGGGCUAAGUAGUAAACC
This 946-nucleotide ribosomal RNA is filed under the name Vibrio parahaemolyticus. Its description in RNAcentral is "partial 23S ribosomal RNA". It matches the Rfam family "Bacterial large subunit ribosomal RNA", at positions 197 to 1195 of the family's 2925-position model. Lineage: Bacteria; Pseudomonadati; Pseudomonadota; Gammaproteobacteria; Vibrionales; Vibrionaceae. RNAcentral also lists the same sequence under 3 other names. The record is from RNAcentral.